UACGGGGGGGGCAAGCGUUGUUCGGAAUUAUUGGGCGUAAAGGGCGCGUAGGCGGCUGUGUAAGUCAAAGGUGAAAUCCCUCGGCUCAACUGAGGAACUGCCUUUGAAACUGCUCAGCUUGAGGCCGGGAGGGGGUGGUGGAAUUCCCAGUGUAGCGGUGAAAUGCGUAGAUAUUGGGAGGAACACCAGUGGCGAAGGCGGCCACCUGGACCGGUUCUGACGCUGAGGCGCGAAAGCGUGGGGAGCAAACAGG
RNAcentral lists this ribosomal RNA (253 nucleotides) under uncultured bacterium. Its description in RNAcentral is "partial 16S ribosomal RNA". It matches the Rfam family "Bacterial small subunit ribosomal RNA", at positions 524 to 776 of the family's 1533-position model. The record is from RNAcentral.